AAGACCUUACUUCAUAGGAUCAUUUCUAUAGUAAGCUCUUCGCGAGACUCACACAACAUGUGAGACCUAUCCAGCCAUGUUGAUGAGAUGUGGCGCGGUGUCCUGAGCGUGAGAUGGGACGAUGAAUUCAGGUCAUCAGUCUUCGAUGAUCGUUCACCCGGUCCUUCUAGGCAGGGCGUGGGAUGCUGUCGCUUUUCUGAGUGGC
Molecule: small nucleolar RNA, 205 nt
Filed under: Bicyclus anynana (squinting bush brown)
Lineage: Eukaryota; Metazoa; Arthropoda; Insecta; Lepidoptera; Nymphalidae
Description: Small nucleolar RNA U3
Rfam family: Small nucleolar RNA U3
About the family: Small nucleolar RNAs (snoRNAs) are involved in the processing and modification of rRNA in the nucleolus. There are two main classes of snoRNAs: the box C/D class, and the box H/ACA class.
Source: Rfam by way of RNAcentral